This 253-nucleotide ribosomal RNA is filed under the name uncultured prokaryote. RNAcentral describes it as "partial 16S ribosomal RNA". It matches the Rfam family "Bacterial small subunit ribosomal RNA", at positions 525 to 777 of the family's 1533-position model. The record is from RNAcentral.
ACAGAGGGUGCAAGCGUUAAUCGGAAUUACUGGGCGUAAAGCGUGCGUAGACGGUUAUUUAAGUCGGGUGUGAAAGCCCCGGGCUCAACCUGGGAAUGGCCAUGGAAACUGGCGAACUGGAGUGUGGCAGAGGGGGGUGGAAUUCCGCGUGUAGCAGUGAAAUGCGUAGAGAUGCGGAGGAACACCGAUGGCGAAGGCAGCCCCCUGGGCUAGCACUGACGCUCAGGCACGAAAGCGUGGGGAGCAAACAGGA